This 12797-nucleotide long non-coding RNA is filed under the name Octopus vulgaris (common octopus). The record is from RNAcentral. Lineage: Eukaryota; Metazoa; Mollusca; Cephalopoda; Octopoda; Octopodidae.
CUACAACGUCACACUCUCUCCUCGCUCCUCUCUCAUUUCCCUUACCACAUCUCUCUCUGCCUCUUCCCUCUCUCUCUCCCCCUCUCUCACUAAAACCAUCCACGACGUCGUUCGGCUGCGGUUUUCUGCCAAGUCUUGGACAACAUUCGCCAAACUUAGCCUGGCUUUCACCAAUUCCGUUUGAUUUUCCCAAAUACUGACCCCCGUCAACCGAGCAGCGAAAAGAAAAGCCUGCCACUCUUAUUUCCUCGCAUCGGAACAUCUCUCUCUCUUGUGUUCUUCUGUUUUGUCGACGUUUGGAGUUGGUUGAGCAGAGAAUAUGGCUGCGAAGCAACGAAUGAGAAUCGCCAACCAGAAACACAGCCAGAAUGUGGCCAACAGGGGGAACGUCCCCAAAACACUGGUAACAACUACUUCACUAUUUUACACUGUUUUACUAGUAUUUCCUUUGUUUAAUUUUGGCCUUAGACACUGAUUAGUAGUGUAUGAAAUGUACACUAUAUAUACAUGUAUGUAUAUAUGUAUGUAUAUAUAGAUGUAUAUAUGUAUGUAUAUAUGUAUGUAUAUAUAGAUGUAUAUAUGUAUGUAUAUAUAGAUGUAUAUAUGUAUGUAUAUAUAGAUGUAUAUAUAUGUGUAUAUAUAUGUGUAUAUAUAGAUGUGUAUGAAAUGUACAUUAUAUAUAUGUAUAUAUAUAGAGAGAGAGAGAUGUAUAUAUAUAUAGAUGUAUAUAUGUAUGUGUAUGUAUAUGUGUAUAUAUAGAUGUGGAUGUAUGUAUAUAUAGAUGUGAUCAAAAUAAGCAACAAGGAUAUCCAAGGUAGUGUAGUACAAUCGUUUCAUACUACUUCAUUUAAUUAAACAAUGUAGGUGUUUUAUAUGGAUAAUACCAUACCAAAUUCUGGUGCCUUUAACCCAAGUACCAUAUUCAUCAGAAUCUAAAUUUUUGCUGAACUUACAUAUAUAUAUAUAUAUAUAUAUAUACAUAUAUAUACGCACACGAACCCACAUGUCUUUAAAGUUGGCCUUAAUCCUCAGUCCUGGUACCAUAUGUCGACAACAAAACCAACUUGUAGACUUUUUUCGCUUCACCGUACGCAACAUAUUGUUGAAUGCCCUCAGCAUUUGUAUAAAUGGUUCCAAUGCUUCCAGAUGUGUUCCUUCAUUGAAUCCUGUUCAUCACAGACACACACAAAAAAUAUUAAUAAUAAUAAUUUAAAAAGCCAUUAUUUUUAAAAAAAUGUGCCGCAUCAGGUUUUGAUUUCUAUGUUCCCUCUCAUUAAAUUCUAUUUAGAUUCUGUGAUUCUGUUUGUUUUAACUAAACCUCUAAAUUGCUUCCUAAUCGUUCUGUUUUUAAACUGAAAAAACGUCAGAAUUUCAAAUCAUUGAUUCCCAGGUAAAUAUAUUUAUUCGGAUCAUUUGGUAACCUCAUUUCUUUCCUAUAUACAACACCUAUUUAUAGAAGAGAGGAACAAUAUGUGUGUGUGUGUGUCAUGAAUGAUGGAAGCUUUCGGAAGAGACAUAUUGACGAAAAGCGUUUAAUAUUGUUUUAAAUAAUGAGACCCUGGAAGAAAUAUAGAGCAAGUGAAAAACUAGACAGAGUUUGGACUGAUAGCAGGAAGGCUGGGACUUCUUCUUCGUAUUGUAUUUUCGAAUCCGGUUGUUCAUUGGUAUUUGUCGAAACUUACAUGGAAAUAGUUUGAUAUUUUCGACAGAUGAAGAAUUGUGACGUUCAUGCUUUUUUCUCAAGAAUAUCAGAUGUAUAUAAAUGGAAAAGUCUCUGAUCCGGAUUUGGAAGCGGAAACCUUGUUACACGAUUUGUGUGUGUGAAGCAGAGAAUUACACGUCACACGCCAAAACCUGUUUCUGUUGACGGAACCUUAUUAAGUAUAAACCACCAAAUAUUAUUAGCAGAAUAAUUCGAAUAUCUAAUUUGAGUUGGAUCUUCACUAAUUACUAAUUUUACAAACAGUUCCUGAGGUUUUCAAGAAAGUAAAAUGUUUCCAGCUUGAUUUUGACAUAUGGCAGGUGAUAGGUGCUGGCCUAGAAAAUUUUGUUGUUUGGCUUCGAGUAAACCUUAUUCAAAAGUACUCCGAACUUGACCAUCUUUUAGGUGGUAUCUACCGUUACAUUAUUAUAUAGUCUAUUCUCCCCUUUUUUUUUUAACGGUGAAAUGAUGAGAGGGAGAUCUAACUGCUGUUUCUAGCGGAACGAGAGGCUCACUGCUUGUCAUGGCAUAUGGUCGUGUACUUUUGUAGUGCUUUGGGAGGAUUACGUGGUUUGUUGGGUUGACGUAUUGCGUGAUUUUAAUGAGAGUGUGGCGGGGGUCUCCGGAUACACAAAAAUUGAAAUAUACGGCAGAUAACCAGAUUUACACCUCAAAGUCUUUAUUGUACGUAAUUGAUACAAAUUGUACAUUCAUAAAAAGAUAACAUGCUUAAAAGAAAAAUUUUAGUCGAACGCAUCGACCUUAGUACCUUUUCAUAUUUCUAAUCCUGUUACUUUUUGUAUCGGUCUCUUUUGCCGAACCAGUUGUUUCCGUCUACCAAACCCACUCACAAGGCUUUGGUCGUCCUGAGGCUAUAGAAGACGACACUUGCCCGAGGUGCCAUGCAGGGGGAAUGGACCUGACUCCAUGUGUUUGGGAAGUGGACUUCUUACUACACGGUGCUAAAUGCAUUUAAUACAAAACGUUGGUUCUAAGACUGACAUGUGGCAAGGCUUCCACAACGUGUUUAGCAGAUAUACGACAGCUAAAAAAAAUGUAUUACUUCACGUUCUAAUCAAGCUUACUCCAGGCAACAUGUCAGGGUCUGGCGGGAGGCCUAAGGCAUUUCCCCAUCUCACUGCAAUGAAUUUAGCACCGUUUACAAGAUGUGAUAUAUUUUGGAAAUUUUGUAUUUUAGUUUGUUUUUGUGUUAGGGUGUUGCUUAACUAUGAUAGGUAUUGAAUAGUUGUGCCAUAUUGGUCAAGUGACUGAUAUAUGUAUUAUAUAAUAGCAUGUGUGUUGACAGCAUCUACACGAAUAGAGGACUGUGGUUCUGGACUUGUUAGAAACAGCAGCUAAAUAUUCUUCCAUGUGUCUAAUAUAUAUCAUCGUUUUUAAUGUACACUUUUCCAUGCUUGCAUGCAUCUGAAGGAAUUUGUGAAGGCGGAUUUUGUAUGACCAGAUGCCCUUCUAAUCAACAACCCUCACUUGUUUCCAAGUAAGGUAAUAUUUCCCCCUGACCAUACACAGUUUCACAGAAGACUAGAAAUGAAAGACAUUCGUUUACAAGCAUCACACUGUGUCAAGGCUAAGAGGCAGUAACAGCACACGCACACACAUAUGACAGGCUUCUUUCAGUUUCUGUCUACCUAAUCCAUUCACAAGGCUUUAGAAGACACUUGCCCAUGGUGCCAUACAGUGGGACUGAACCCAGAACAUGUGGUUGAGGAUUCAGUCAUGCUUGUUCCUGUGUAGUUAUAUGUUUGUAUAUAUGUAUGCAUAUUCUUUUUUGUUUCAGCCCAAUGGCUGUGACCAUGCUGGGGCACCACCAGUAUGAUCACCUUUUCAGUGGCCCCUCUCAUGUGACUGACCUUUAGUGAAUAAAGGAGUUCAGUGUUGCUGCCCGUGUUUUAGUUUCUUGCCGUGAUGUAGGGUCAUCUGGGAUCUUGGACAGCAGAGGGUCAAGGUGCUUUUUGCUAACAUCUAUCCCCACUUCAUGUGGAUCUCUUGGGUAUUUUGGCAGGAUAUUAAAUAGCUGUAGGCCUUUGAGUCCCAAGCAUUUGAAGUACUUGAUCCUUUGGAGCAGUACAGCAGCAUCCUGUCCAGUGGCUGGUAUAGCCCUUAAUGCCAAAGUUUGGUGCCAGCCCUUCUGGGGGUCUUCAGUAAUGUAUAUCACCACAUAUCUCUCCUGUCUUUGCUCCUGGGAAUAUAGUCAAAAUUCUUUCAGUCUUUCCCAGUGGAUCAACUGUUCCAUUGAUGUUGUCUUCUCGGUGUAACAUUGCUGAACCACCUCAAGUUCUGCUGUUGAAUUGGCUCUGUGGAGUGACCAUAGUCCAGAUGGCUGUGGACAGAUAUACUCCAUAGGACCAGCAAAGUUUCCUGGUCUCUUGAUCUGAAAGUUCUCAGAUUCCAUCUUGGUGACAUGUUCAUGAAACAAGGCACACACAUUCACAUAUAUAUAUGACUGGCUCCCAUUCCAGCAGCAUGUAAAAAGCAUGAUCAUUACCUGUGCCUGUGGUAUGUAAAAACCACCAUUCAAGCGUGGUUGAUGCACUACUACCCUGACUGGCCCUCAUGCUGGUGGCACAUAAAAAGCACCCACUACACUCUCUGAGUGGUUGGCAUUAGGAAGGGCAUCCAACUGUACAAACUGCCAGAUCAGAUUGGAGUCUGGUACAGCCUUCUGGCUUGCCAGUCCUCGAUCAAACUAUCCAACCCAUGCCAGCAUGGAAAGCGGACGUUAAACGAUGAUGAUGAUAUAUAUGAAUUGUUAUUAAUCCAAACACCCAGUAAUCAUAUCUAAACUGGAUGUUUGGCCAAAAUUUCAAAGUUUGCAUAAAAGGAAAAGAAAACUAUCUCAUCCCAAAAUAAAUGUAUUUUAAAAAUCAAAAAAUAUCAACUAGAUUAUGGAUGGGAGAUAAGUUUGCUCAGAGUAGCAGUCCUCAGCUUUCACCAUGGCUUCAAGACGGCUCUGGAACCUAGCAUAUAUAUUCCUCUCUAUGCCCCUAGGAAGAACUUUGAACACCUUAACUUUGGCCAUAUGUGUGUGUGUGUGUGUCCUUAUAUCUUGUUUCAGUCAUAAUUGUGACCAUGCUGGGGCACUGCCUUGAAUUUUAGUUGAAUGAACUGAUCCCAGUACUUUCUUUUUUAAGCCCGGUACUUAUUCUAUCAGUUUCUUUUGCCAAACUGUUAAGUUAUGGGGACAUAAACACACCGACACUGGUUGUCAAAGAGCAGUGGAGGACUGACUCACACAAACUAUAUGUCUAUAGUGAAUACCUGUGCAAGCAUGGGAAAUUGGAUGUCAAAACGAUGAUGAUUUCAACUUGAUUUCCUACAUUUUUAUGAAUCUCUAUAUUCCUUAGUCAUUUGUUUAUUCUGAAUUAUAACCAACCUCAAUUAUUAUGUUUGUUCCUACAGAAGGUGGCUGAUGACAAAUACCCUGUUGGACCCUGGCUUUUGGCCCUGUUUAUCUUUGUUGUCUGUGGUUCAGGUACGUACAACCACUUUCUACUUUAAAUCAAUGACAGAUCUCAUUCCUUAACGAGGACUAUUUUAUCUCUUCAGCAGUUUUAAUUUUAUUUCAUUAAUGCUUGGAUGUUAAAUAUGGAAAUGUUUGCUUAUCCUGGCCAUUAUAAUCUCAAAUUGCUCCGAGAAGCAAAACUAAGAGGAUACACGAGAGCAGAGCCUCUACAUGGCCUUUGAGCUCCUCGAAACGACAGCUAAAAACACAGCCUACAGCAUGUCUGGUGGCAAGGUGUGAUGAUAAAUGCUGGAAUGCUUUUAAUCACAGGUCUGUUUCAUCAGAACUGACCUGGGGCUAAACAACUCAUAGAAAUUUCAAAUAUAAAGAUACAGACUUGAAACUAGCUUCUUGAUUCAUUUUCGAUUGAUGUCCAAUGAGCUUUUACUUUCAGUGAUUUUGUAGACGGGAAGAAGCACUAUAAAUGAUUUCACCAGAUUUAUAAGAAAUAUCUAUUUAGAAUUGCUGUUUAUAUAUAUAUAUAACUAAAUAUAUACAAAUUAGUCAUUAAACUAAUUGGGACAGUGAGAUUUACCAAUAUUUUAUUUUAUAUAAUCCACAAAACACUUAUCUAGGGACAUCUUCAACAAACUCUUACACUAGUAUUCACUUGGUAUAUUAGUACAUCACCUAUGUGUGUGUGUGUUGUGCUGCAAAGUUGGUUUUACAUUAAGGGAAUGAUAAGAUAUUGGUUUCUUCUCGGUCCUUAGUGCAUAUUUAUACUUUAUGUGCACAAAACUAAUCUCAACUAAUAUUAUGACAAACGGAACAUCCUUAUUUUUGUAAAUCUGUUGAGAAUAGAAAUUUUGUAAUUUCUGAUGAAAAGGAAGAAAAUCUUUAUAAACGUGGAAUUUAAUAUGGAGACAUAAAUCUAUAUAUGUUUUUAAAGACAAAAUAAAUUAAAUGAAUCACUGCUGAUUACAUCAUUUCUCUGAAAUAUAUUAUAUAACUUGUAAAUGGUUAUUAUAUAUUAGUCAGAAAUAGCAGUCUGUUCUGCAAACCAUUUAAAAAGUUAUCGUAAGACUGUCUUGUACUGUUUGAUAUUGAAGCGGUUGUCAGAUGUGGAAGGCUGUGUAUGAUACUUUGGUCAGCUGCAGUGAAAGAUGGCAUUUAGCCACAGACUCACAGACGUUCAGAUAUUGGAGGAGCACAACAUAUGAAGGAAGCUAUCUGAAAGGCGUCCAGCUGUUGGUAGUGGCAAUCCAUCAGUUGAUAAUUCUGCAGUAAUAACAUCUUCGGUUUGAGUAAGAUGCAGUGUGAGUGAAUGGAGGGAUUGCAUUACAAAAAGUUAGAGAUCGGAUUUAGCAUGGAAUAAAAAAAACCAUUUAGCUGGUUAUUUAAAGAAAAAUGCAUAAUUUUAAUUAGCUAUUUUUGUAGUAGUUUUGGUUUAAUAGCUUUGGUUAGUUCCACUCAAACUGCGAUGAAAGACCAAGUAUUUUCAUUUAGUUUAUAGUAUUUAAGAAUCCUAAUGUUAUCUCGGUAGUUGAACUGGUUAUAUAUAUUGAUCAGUGUUUGUUUUUCUCAUGUCUUCUUUAUUUAUCAGAUAUGAUCAGUCGUCAUAAACUCGACUGGCAGAUGUUAGAUUUUUCACAGAUUAGAUUAUUUAUCUUCAACUAUAUCAGUGACCUUUUUUGUUUACAUUAUUAUACAAUAUGAUUGAAAUAAAGCCAUAAACAGCCUUUGUUCUUGUAACUUUAGUAGCUUUAUUAUACUCUCUUCACUAAAACCUAUCCACUUUAGACAUUCCACUCUGAGUCUUAGUGAAUUUCUAUUUUGUUAAAACAGCAAUUACUAAUAAGCAGACUUACUUACUGACUUUGUUUGAAAUGUCUUAUCAAAUCGUUUGCUUACUCUCUUUUCAAAAAUGGAAAUCAGUAGAAAGAAAAAAAAAACAUUUUAAAACAACAAAUACAAUCAAUUCAGUGUUUAUUUUUGAUGUGUUAAUUGUUGAGUACAAAUUCAAUGAAAGGUUUUUUCUUUUUUCUUCUUCUUCUUUUACAGCUGUCUUUCAAAUAAUUCAGAGUAUUCGGAUGACGUAAUAAAUCAAUGAAGAUAUUUGACCAAUCUGUUUGAAAGGAUGCCAUAUGGAUUUUGAUUCUGCUGGGCAGCUUAUUUUGAAAGCGAAGAAAAGUAUAUUCCUUCCAGAGCAUCUCCUCAAAAACGAUGUUCUCUAUAGGCUGUUCCAGAAAUCAUUUCAUACCAUAUAAUAUAUUUUUUUUCUCGUUUACAACUUUAUUUUCUAAAGACAUGUGUCCUUUGAUAAAAUUUAUUUAAAUAUAUUAAAAUGUGAAAAUAAAUUACUUCAUCACAUUGUCUUAAACAAAAAUGUUUUAUUUUAAUAUAAAAUUAAUUUCACCCACUUAGUGAACUAUGAGCAUAUCACAUCUGUAAGCUUUCAUGAAAUGGUUAGGAAACCAUUUGCUUGAGCUACAAAUAAGGAUGAUAAAAUUGUUUGAUACAGUUUCUAGAUUUGAGUUUUUUCUAAUUUACUUCCUCCAUUUUUUAUUUUAUUUACCUUAAAUAUUAUUUCUUCAGAAUUAUCAAAUUUUGUAAAUAGGGAAAACACCUGAGAGAUUUAGGAUGCAGAAAAUGACAAGGAAUAGCAUUUACCUUUUCCAAGAUCACUAGCAAUGGAAAUGAUACAAAUAGCACCACAGUUACAUUUUUCCAUUUAUCAAAUCUCUCAUAUUCAGCUCUGCACCAUUUUCCACUUAUUUCUGGCACCUCUACACCUUUUCAUUGAAAGAGUUUUUCUGUAAUGCUUAUAUUUUUUUCCCCCUUUUUUUUUUCUGAUGUUUGUUUGUCUUCCACUAAAUAAAGUAUUGUUCUCUACAAUACUUGUUCCUCUUUACUAGAGAUUAGUUUGGUGACCUUUCCAACUACAACAGCUGUUUUCACUCAACAAGGGACCAAAUUCUAUGCUGAUUGUAUGUUUGAUUGCACUCAAAUAGCCUGGCCCUGAGAGAGGUGUAUAGCUCAAAAGCUGAAGCUGACUUGUACAUUAAAAUCUGUCUCCAUUUCAAUUCUAUAUUUUUAACAGAAUAUCUUUAGUAGAUCCUUAGCUAUUAUUCUUGUUACAUACAAAAUUCUUUGGAUUCCAAAUUAUGGUUCAAUUUCACCAAACUUUCCAGUUAAUGGUUAACUACUGCUUGGCUCAUUAUUAUUAUAAUUAUUCUUAUUAUAAUUAUUAUUAUUUAUUAGUUUUUUUUUUAAUAAAAACAAUUAUGUUCAGUAUUUAAAUUGCUUCAAUUGAGCUUUUGUAAUAUUGAAAAAGUCUAACACUGAACUUUAUAGUCUUUGACUAGACAACUUGUUUUAAUAAAGAAUUUUAUUCUAUAAUGAAAAUGACAUUGCAAAUUGCAGUUUUUCCAUUUAUUUUAUUUCUUUUAUUUUUUUUCCGUUUAUGAUUUCUCUUUAGUAAUUAUAAGAGCCUGUUCUGUGAAAAGGGAAGUGUGUACAUUUGUAUAAUUCCAACAUAAUUACUUAUUCUAUCCUGAUGAAAAUAAGAGCGGUUUCUCUUGUCUGGUUGUUAAAACAGAAAUAUUACAUGGCUAUAUUAAGGUAAAACAUCCUUAAACUUAUCAGUUCAGGCUAUACUGCUUUUUUAAUGAUAAUCACAGAAAUAGAAUAGAUAUUAGAGAAUCCUUUUUUUUUUCUGGAACAUACUUCUUGGAAGAACUCUUGUCAUAGGGAAAAUUCUUCAUUCUUAAGAAUUUUUUGUCAACCAUUGUUUUUUUUUUUCACAAGUUGCUUUUUGAAAUGUUACUCAAUUUUUAAAUUAUAUUGUCUGUAAUAAAGAUGAGGAUAAAGUUGAUAUCAAUUUAAAACAUUGAUGGUUAGUGGUGUUAAUUUCAGAGGAAUUAGUUCUAGAAAAGGACCAGGCUGUGUUGAAUGUGUAGAAGGGUGAAAUAAGAGGAGCAGAGAUUGUUGUAGAAGACAGGAAGGACACAGUAGUUUGAGAGUAUAAAUGAAUGAAGGUUAACUUUACAGCUUUUAGAUAUUGGUUUCCAGUUUGGGCACAAGGCCAGCAAUUUCAGGUGUGGGAGUCGGGGCUAGUCAAUUACAUUGACCCCAAUGCUCAACUGGGACUUAUUUUAUCAACCGUGAAAGGAAACGCCAACCUCGGUCGAAUUUGAGCUCAGAACAUAAUGACUGAUGGAAUGCUACUAAGCAUUUUGCCUGGCAUGGAACCGAUUCUGCCAGCUCACCACCAGAUAUAGCUUUUAGAUAUGACCAAGAAUAUAUAUAUAUAUGUGUGUGUGGUUGGUGAACUGUUUCAUGUGUGAAAACAACACCCUUGUGAAAGGCAUAAUGUCUGGAAGGGGUUAGUAGCUGUUAAGGGCUGAAGUAUUUUCUGGUUCUGGAAAGGAAAUCCUGCUUUUGUGAUGGAAUCUUCAUUAGGUAAAAAAACAUUAGGCUACCAAAAUAAUUGAACUGAUUAUUACAGUUAAUUUGUAUUUACUCUGUUGUUGACCUUAAGUUCAUUCCUAUACUCUCAGAAACCAAUCUUGAGUCUGUUUAUGUAUAGAAUCCAAUUUAAAUUUUCAUAUACUUAUGAAAAGAUUUUACAUGAGUGCUUCUACAGUUGGUACCAUUAUGUUAAUGUGUGUGUGUGUGUGGUUCCAGUUUUAUAUAUAUAUAUGUAUAUAUAUUGGAGCCUGGUGCAGCCUCCUGGCUUCCCAGUCCACGAUCGAACUGUCCAACCCAUGCUAGCAUAGAAAACGGACGUUAAACGAUGAUGAUGAUAUAUAUAUAUAUAAACUAAUACAAAGAUCGAACAAUUAAUGAUAUCUUGGUCAAGAGGGGUCCUUUCCCUUGAUGCUUCUAGUGGAAUUGGUAAAGCAUUUUCGCUCAACCUAAUUUGGACCAAAGUUUGAUCACUCAAAUAUUAUUGCAGAGUCCUCAUUUGGAGUUUUUGCAACUUUGUUCACAGGUGGCAGCACUGAUGUCAUUCUGUCUUUUUAAGCUGCCACUCGACCUACAGUGACAGUCAGAUGUGCAAUGUUAACAAAUUAGAGGUUUCGAAGCAGUCCAAACUGAAAGUAUCAGGCAACUGCAUUGGCAGCUCCCUAUCACAACCUACAACUCAGCUGAAGUCACAGUUUUUUUCUCUGGUGAUUUCAGGCAAACUCUGCCAAUCAUUCUAAAGGAUACCCAGGCUGAUGAGUUUGAGAGAAGGCCUCAAAUAUUUCUUUCUUCCAAUUAGAGAAUCACAUUUAAUAGCACUUUCGUUGCAGCCCACUUUGCAAAAGUUUUACUUCAGUUGUAAGGAAUGGACGUGUCUAAAUAUAAAAAAAAAAUGUAGAGUAAUGAACACAUCUCAAGAAAUGCUUCUGAGUUUGUCCUAGCCCCCAUUCAGCCAUCUGUUGUGUCUCCUUACAAUCUGCAACUAAAAGUAGGAGUACCUAUGAAGUUUGGAUGCAUCAAAACCCUGUAAUAGCAAAAGGCUGCAAAGUUCUUAUGCCUCGUGAGAUUGAAGCCAUCAUUAUGACUGGUUGUGCCAAGGGAGAUCCUUAUUCCUUCAGAUGUGCUCUCUCCGUUCAAGUGCCUUCAGUGUUCUGUGAUAUAUGAAUGUGUGUGUGUGCACAAAUCCACAAAGACAUGCAUAUUUGUAUGUAGACACAUUUAUACACAAUGAAUGUGUAUGUAUGUAUAUGUACAUUAAUUCAGACAUGCAGUCAACAUGUACAUGAUGCACUGAUAUAAUAAAAUGAAAUCCUUUCUGUUCCCAUUUAAAAUACUAAUCACUUCUAUGCCUUGCCAACUGAGUUGGAUAAAAAUUCACUGAGGAGAUUUGAUACAAAUGAAUCAUGUCUUGCUUUUUUUAAACACAAGGUCCACUCUGAUCUGUCAUUUUCAUUUUCCAUUAAAUUAGCUCAUAUUAUUGGAUUUAUCUCCCUUGCUUGUGUUGAUUUUUUUUUUUUCUUUUAAGUUUUUGAAUGCCUCUUUAGGAAACUUUGUUUACUAAUUGCAUGGAUAAUUUCAGUUAACCAAAGCUUUCCAACUCUGAGACUCAACAACAUAUGUCAAUUAUACGAUACUAAUAAAGUCGUUGUCCCCUGACAAAGCUAACGGAAAGAGCAUUCUGAUGAGACAGUGAAAGCAGAAUGCACCAUGGUACCGUGGCUGAUUACAAACUACCUGUAAUUUUAUGCAAACAGUGACUAAUGUAUGUCACCUGUUUUACCGUUCUUUCUCUACUUUUGGGUGAUUUUGCAUAGAUUCUCUUAAACGCCCAGGUGGCUCACCACAAGUAGUUGAUAGUUUCUGUUACCUAGAAGACAUAGUUAGGGUGGGACGGGGAGGUGGUUACUUGGAAAGUGUAGUAGCCGGGUUACGAACAGGUUGGAAAAAGUUCAGGGAGCUACUGCCAUUGCUGACUAGGGUGUAACUGGGUGUUGGCAGGGUCCACCUCAUAUGGCAUUUUUGGGUCUGCUGUAUAAACAUAUGUACAUACAUGCAUACAUACAUAUGUGUAGCAGGAAUAUUUGGGGGAGAGAGGUGGCAAACUCAAAGACUGCCCUGGCAGCACACACUCUAGUUACAUCACUGUGGUGGCACCAAGUUUUUCUCUCAGAAUGAAAGUUGUGUGCUAGAACUGUGAUGCUGCAUGGUAACUUGACGUGAGUCUUGCAAUCAGAAAAUUUGUGGAAACUUGAAAAAAAUGAAGCUGUCUUGCUCUGAUGGAUGUGGUAUGUCAGUGUGCUUGGUUGCCAGAAUAGAAAUGAGCCAAGAGGAGAACUGGAUAUAAGUGGAAUCAGGUGUAGUGUGCAGAAGAUGAGAGACUAUGUUGAUACAAGCAUGAGAUGUGUUUGAAGAUGACUGUUGCAGUCUGUGGAAGAGGAGGGCCAAAGAAGACUUAGGACCAAAAUGGUGAAAGCUGAUCUGAAGACAAAAGACUCUACAGAUUGCCAGUACGUGAUGUUAUAGAAUACUUGUCCACCCAAGAAAAAGAAAAACACAAGGGGAGCAAUUAAAAAGCUGUGACACAGACAUAUAUACAUACGGCAAGAAUGUUUGAUAGAGUCCUAAACACCAACUCAUUGACUAGAAAUCAAACCUGAAUCACUGUUCAGAAAAAAAAAAAACGAUAAAUAACAGAAUUCUGUCAUGGAUUGAUAACAUCAACAAAAAGCUGACCACUCAAAUCUCAAGUAGAACCCUCAAGAACAUGUUUUUAAUCAAUAGCUGAGGUGACCAACAAAAUACAAUAAAUCCAACAGAUGUUUUACCCUUUGAAUCCUUAUGUUGUAUACAAUCAUAAUUUUGGACAAAUAACAUACUGAAAUGUCAUUAACAAUUUUGUCUUUGGCUCCUUUUCAUUGAAAGAUAUUAUGCAUAGUUUGUUUAUCUGCUAAUUUUCCAGUGACCAUAAAGCAGCCAAGAAAUUUAUGACACUACAGAAAUUUAUGGCACUCGACAACAACCUCAGAAUGAAUUCGGUCCACUCAUGGCUGCUGACAAACACAAAUUGAUUCACUUGUCUUAAAUAUUUUCUUUUCUGUCAUUCACCAUAACAACACUUUAUUUUGUUUAUGAUUAAUAAAUAUUUUGUAUUUGGAACUUCUCACA